UCUGGUGACGAUGGCGAGAGGGAAACACCCGUACCCAUACCGAACACGGAAGUUAAGCCUCUCAGCGCCGAUGGUACUUGGCGGGAGACCGCCUGGGAGAGAAGGACGUUGCCAGAU
This 117-nucleotide ribosomal RNA is filed under the name Tissierellia bacterium. Lineage: Bacteria; Bacillati; Bacillota; Tissierellia. The record is from RNAcentral.